This 453-nucleotide ribosomal RNA is filed under the name uncultured soil bacterium. RNAcentral's name for it is "bacterial SSU rRNA". It matches the Rfam family "Bacterial small subunit ribosomal RNA", at positions 26 to 489 of the family's 1533-position model. The record is from RNAcentral.
AGAUUGAACGCUGGCGGAAUGCUUUACACAUGCAAGUCGAGCGGCAGCGCGGGGCAACCUGGCGGCGAGCGGCGAACGGGUGAGUAAUGCAUCGGAACAUGUCCAUUCGUGGGGGAUAGCCCGGCGAAAGCCGGAUUAAUACCGCAUACGCCCUUAGGGGGAAAGCCGGGGACCGCAAGGCCUGGCGCGAAUGGGUUGGCCGAUGCCCGAUUAGCUAGUUGGCGGGUAAUGGCCCACAAGCGAUGAUCGGUAGCUGGUCUGAGAGGAUGAUCAGCCACACUGGGACUGAGACACGGCCCAGACUCCUACGGGAGCAGCAGUGGGGAAUUUGGACAAGUGGGGGCAACCCGUGACUCCAGCCAUUCCGCGUGAGUGAAGAGGCCUUGGUUGUAAGUCUCGUUUGUCCGGAACGUAACGGUUGUGGUGAAUAGCACGACUACGACGUACGAAGAA